GACGACGCUGGCGGCGUGCCUAACACAUGCAAGUCGAACGGGGUAGGAAGCUUCGGUUUUCUACUUAGUGGCGAACGGGUGAGUAACGCGUGAGAAACCUGCCUUUUAGUGGGGGACAACAGUUGGAAACGACUGCUAAUACCGCAUAAUGUAUUUAAGGGGCAUCCCUUUAAUACCAAAGAUUUAUUGCUGGAAGAUGGUCUCGCGUCUGAUUAGCUUGUUGGCGGGGUAACGGCCCACCAAGGCGACGAUCAGUAGCCGGUCUGAGAGGAUGAACGGCCACAUUGGGACUGAGAUACGGCCCAGACUCCUACGGGAGGCAGCAGUGGGGAAUAUUGGGCAAUGGGCGAAAGCCUGACCCAGCAACGCCGCGUGAAGGAAGAAGGCCCUCGGGUUGUAAACUUCUUUUACCAGGGACGAAAUUUGACGGUACCUGGAGAAAAAGCAACGGCUAACUACGUG
Molecule: ribosomal RNA, 462 nt
Filed under: uncultured bacterium
Lineage: Bacteria
Description: bacterial SSU rRNA
Rfam family: Bacterial small subunit ribosomal RNA
Source: RNAcentral